UUCAACGUAUACAGACUUAAAGUGGGGGAAUAGUGCUUUCCACCUGUUGGGUGAAAUAGGCGGUGGUCGCCAUCUAUUGCCUGACAUGGGCAGCAGCUAACCGAGACACAAACCACCGCCAACGCUGCGCAGCCGCCGUCUGCGGCGGCGCCGCUGCCACGCUCCGACGCCGGCUCCAUCUUUGUCUUCAGUCUCUCUCUCUUCGUUUCUCUGUGUAGCACCGUCGCACGCCACCACGGGGAGGGGGUUAUGUGGUGUGAAAGGGGGUGCAGUCGCCGGAUUUACGGUCUCCGAUGACGGCUGCCAUGGCUCGAAACGGCCAUCAUAGUUGCUCAAAACGGAAAAUCGGUACUAGGAUUUGUGAUCAGGAUACCUGAUUGGGGGGGGGGGGGUACACCGGAGCACCACCGUGAAAACUCGCCGGAAAGACCUCUUACUCCGCCGCCGUAGCGGCGGCGGCGCCGUCGACCACCACCGGCUCCGCCGGUCUUGCCGGCCGGAGUCCGGCCAUACUUUACCGGAGAGAGAUAGAGAGAAAAGUGUGGUGUGUGUCUUUGGUUUAUGUGGAAUGAGAACAAAAAAAGGCUAAUUAGUAGAGAUAAUUAGAGUGUUUGAUUGUAUGUUUAUCGAAUUGUUUGGUUUUUUUUUUUUAAUUAUAUAAUAGUUAUCUGUAAGUCUUAUCAAAUUACAAAUUUGUCAUUGGU
RNAcentral lists this long non-coding RNA (704 nucleotides) under Helianthus annuus (common sunflower). RNAcentral describes it as "hypothetical non coding rna". The record is from RNAcentral. Lineage: Eukaryota; Viridiplantae; Streptophyta; Magnoliopsida; Asterales; Asteraceae.